AGGACGAACGCUGGCGGCGUGCUUAACACAUGCAAGUCGAGCGGAAAGGCCCUUCGGGGUACUCGAGCGGCGAACGGGUGAGUAACACGUGAGUAAUCUGCCCCUAGCUCUGGGAUAGCUCCGGGAAACCGGGAUUAAUACCGGAUACAACCACUUUAGACAUCUUUUGUGGUGGAAAGAAUUUUGGCUAGGGAUGAACUCGCGGCCUAUCAGCUUGUUGGUGAGGUAACGGCUCACCAAGGCGACGACGGGUAGCCGGCCUGAGAGGGCGACCGGCCACACUGGGACUGAGACACGGCCCAGACUCCUACGGGAGGCAGCAGUGGGGAAUAUUGCGCAAUGGGCGAAAGCCUGAUCCAGCAAUGCCGCGUGAGUGAAGAAGGUCUUAGGAUUGUAAAGCUCUUUCGGUGGGGACGAUGAUGACGGUACCCACAGAAGAAGCCCCGGCUAACUUCGCGCCAGCAGCCGC
This 469-nucleotide ribosomal RNA is filed under the name uncultured bacterium. Its description in RNAcentral is "SSU rRNA". It matches the Rfam family "Bacterial small subunit ribosomal RNA", at positions 26 to 518 of the family's 1533-position model. The record is from RNAcentral.